This 2409-nucleotide long non-coding RNA is filed under the name Zea mays. Its description in RNAcentral is "long non-coding RNA (ZMAY_LNC000216)". The record is from RNAcentral. Lineage: Eukaryota; Viridiplantae; Streptophyta; Magnoliopsida; Poales; Poaceae.
GCCAUAUAUCUAGGACGCGUGACCUCCUCUCCUUCUGCCCAUCCAUGGCGCUCGGCAACCAUCGCCCCUGCUCCUCUUCCUUGGAGGCCGGGCGGGGCUCCCUCCAUGGGCGAGCCUCCAACCUUCCCUGUGUACUCUCUCGAACCCAAGUGCAAGGUGCCCCCGCGUGCUCUAUGGCCGCACGCGCCUGGCCUUGCCAUCUGUGGAGCUCGGCAGCCGGAGCCGCGUAUCCGCCCCGGCUGUGGUCGACCGGCUUCGCUUCAUUAAUCUGGGUAAGUAACCCUCUUCAACGUUCACUCUUGUCCCUGCUACGCAUAGAGCUCGUUGCCUUAGGAACUCGUGCAUCAGAGGCUUGGAUUUGGGUGUGCGCCGUUGAUGCGCCACCGUGCGGGCUGACCGACGCCGCCGCCGUGCUCGGUUUUUGGCGGAGGAAGGAGGCGAUGGGUGGACCGUUGAUUCGGCUAUGGAUGGAUGUGAUCGUGCUUCGCGUACCCCCUUCAUGUGUCAGAGUCUGACCGUUGGAUCUGAUCGGAUGUACGAGAUUCUCUCUCGGCUAUUUAAAUCCUGGGCGUUGGUCCCUGAUCUAACGGCACACAAUACGUACCGGUUCGUCGUAGCGGGCUUUUAAUCUGGGUCCUCGGUUCUGGAUCGGGCGGCUCAGAUUCCAUCUUACCCCCUUGCCGUGGUCAUUUUCUAAACGAGCCCCUCGGAUUUCGAUGAAUUAACCCGCCGUCCAAUUGCACUAUUCUCUGAGUCUUAGAAAACUUACGCUAGAGCCCCUGCGUUCCUCUGUUUUUGACGCCCAGUCCAGAGAACAGUAAAAAUAGGAAAUUAAUUGUAGAAAAUGAUUUUUAAUACAAAAAUAAUUCUAGAAACUUGUAAAAUUCAUAGAAAAUUCAUAUUAAACCCUUUUGGGUCCAUUCCAGUGACAUUAAUUUUGUAUUAGUAUUUUCUACCAACCAUAACAUUGUUUAGCCAUGAAACUUGAACUAAAAUUAUCCACAUGAGUUAUGCUAUUCCAAGUACCUAAUAAUUCCAGAAAUUCAUAACUUGGUACCCGUAACUCCGAAUUUAGUAAUUCUUGUACUCACGAUCUCGUUAUACAACGUAGAAUAUUAAUACACAGUUUAUUCUUAUGUUUGGUGUGAUGUUAAUUUUGUCUAUACCAUGCUUGUUUGUGUUGCUACGACUAGCGCGAGGUUACGAGUCACCUGAAGAUCAUCCUGGUACCUGGAAUCUCAAGUCCCAGGCAAGUUGUGCCCUUGAUCACUUCUUUUUACCCACUCAUGUUCUAAUUAAUCAUAAUGAUCUGCAUAGGUUUAAUUUUGAUGGGACCCAAUAGGUCACCCUAGUUUGUUUAUCCUGAAUACCUUGUUUACCCCUGAAUCACUUGGGUAGUUCUGCUACUGCUUUAUAUGGUUUUGGGUUAAUAUUUCAUUAUAUCUAUGUUCCAAUUAUGUUGUUAUUUUAUUUAUGUUCAUGACAAGAUCAUUAAAUGUUAAUUGGAACAUAGAGCUUAACUUGAGAAACACGUGCCGCCACAAGGGUUUAUGGACGCCCUUGGCUGAUUAAUUAGGAAAGCUAGUGGAGGACUACCUUACCCGAAAGGGGCAAGGGCAGUAGGGGAGUGGUCAGUGUAGGGAGGCCCUCGGGAGGAUUUUGCUGCGAUGGCGGUCCUGCAAGAGAUUCCUGCAUUGGAGCUUCCUAUAAACUGUAGCGGGUUUUCUGAAGCUAGUGGAACUUUGUAAAGGCCUCGUAGUGUUACCCUGCCUCGCCUCCUCGGUAGAGGUGUAUGGGAAGUCGCGAUCCCUUGGCAGAUGGGUAACACGACUUGUGGGUAAAGGGUACCACCUCUGCAGAGUGUAAAACUGGUAUACUAGCCGAGCUCACGGUCAUGAGCAGCUCAGGACUCUCUGAUGAUUAAAUUAUGGAACUAAAUUCAAUUUGUCAUAUGCAUUGCAUUGCAGGUGAUGUUGUUACUUUUGUUCUACUAUUUAAUUGGGUUGGUAUUUACUUAUACUUAGUAAUUGCUAAUAAAAUUUUGACCAACUUUAAAAGCAAUGCUCAGCUCUAACCAUCCUCUUUGGUAAGCCUUACACUUCACGUGAGCUCCCACCUUUGGCGAGUUCAUGCACAUUAUUCCCCACAACUUGUUGAGCGAUGAACGUAUGUGAGCUCACUCUUGCUGUCUCACACCCCCCCCACAGGUCAAGAAUAGGUACCGCAGGAUGAGGCGCAUGGAGGAUGCUGUGAUGAGUUCGUGAGAGGUCUAGGCCGUCGUCUCCCAGUCAACUUUGGGUUGCUGGACCGUUGUCUCCUUAUAAUGUAAUUAUUUAUUUAUUUUGUAUAGAACUCCUAUUAUAUAGUAAAGAUGUGACAUUCGAUCCUGUGCCAUGAUUCAUCAUAUGU